AAAUGACUCUCGGCAACGGAUAUCUCGGCUCUUGCAUCGAUGAAGAACGUAGCGAAAUGCGAUACUUGGUGUGAAUUGCAGAAUCCCGUGAACCAUCGAGUCUUUGAACGCAAGUUGCGCCCAAAGCCAUUAGGUUGAGGGCACGCCUGCCUGGGUGUCACAC
Molecule: ribosomal RNA, 163 nt
Filed under: Vigna aconitifolia
Lineage: Eukaryota; Viridiplantae; Streptophyta; Magnoliopsida; Fabales; Fabaceae
Also listed under: 19 other names
Description: 5.8S ribosomal RNA
Rfam family: 5.8S ribosomal RNA
About the family: 5.8S ribosomal RNA (5.8S rRNA) is a component of the large subunit of the eukaryotic ribosome. It is transcribed by RNA polymerase I as part of the 45S precursor that also contains 18S and 28S rRNA.
Source: RNAcentral